RNAcentral lists this ribosomal RNA (900 nucleotides) under Nanozoanthus aff. harenaceus MISE-OSE3. RNAcentral's name for it is "partial large subunit ribosomal RNA". It matches the Rfam family "Eukaryotic large subunit ribosomal RNA", at positions 88 to 800 of the family's 3401-position model. The record is from RNAcentral. Lineage: Eukaryota; Metazoa; Cnidaria; Anthozoa; Zoantharia; Nanozoanthidae.
GGCGAGUGAAGCGGGAAUGGCUCAAAUUUGAAAUCUCCGUUGCUUGCAACGGCGAAUUGUAGUUUCGAGAAGCACUUUCUAGGCGGAUCGGCCCUGUCUAAGUUGCUUGGAACAGCACGUCAUAGAGGGUGACAACCCCGUCUGGGACGGGGCCGGCCGCUGACGAUGUGUUUUCGAAGAGUCGGGUUGUUUGGGAAUGCAGCCCAAAAUGGGUGGUAAACUCCAUCUAAAGCUAAAUACAGGCACGAGACCGAUAGCGAACAAGUACCGUGAGGGAAAGAUGAAAAGAACUUUGAAAAGAGAGUUAAAAAGUACGUGAAACCGUUGAAAGGGAAACGAAUGGAGUUAGCAAUGCACUCUGCGAGAUUCAGCCGGUCGGUGGUCUGGACGGGCGGUAUGCGGAUCUGAAUGGACCGCUGCCGUUCGGCUCGGGCUCCCGACCGUCGCACUUCUUGCGGGUGCGCGUCAACGUCGGUUUUGGGCCGGUCUUAAAUGCUCUGGGAAGGUAGGUCGAUGGCUUCGGCUAUCGACUGUUACAGCCCUCUGCCAUGGCCGGCCCGGGAUCGAGGAGUCGCAGCGCGUGCCUCUUUUGGCUAGGGUCCCGUAGUGCCGGUCGGUCGUCGAGCGCGGUGGACUGCUUGCAGUGCUCCCAAACUGCGGUCGGUCGCUACUGCGGUGACUUCGUACUACGCGCUAAGGACGUUGGCGGUCAUAUGGCUUCAUCCGACCCGUCUUGAAACACGGACCAAGGAGUCUAACAUGUGCGCGAGUCUUAGGGUGAUUGAAACCCCGAGGCACAAUGAAAGUGAAGGCGGCUCGUCCGCUGAGGUGAGAACCUCUCCUCCGGGAGGGGCGCAUCAUUGACCGAUCUAUUCUACUCUUAGGAAGAUUGAGUAAGAG